GGAAGUUAGUUUAACGGAGAAGCAAACCAAUUCACUAACUGAACAAAUCGACUUCAGAUUGAUUGAUGACGUGUUAACAAUAGGGGUUGGCGAAAAUCCACCUGGACCGAAACACCAAUCUGGAAAUGGAACCUACUUUUGCCAUUUAGUUCCAAGUUAUAGAUUUUUUAACGUUUGGGUUUCUAUUUCCUUAUUUUGUUAAUUAAAUUUCCAUUUUGUUCAUUUUAACCGAUGCCUAAAACUAUAUAUUCUGGUCAUAAUUUGAUUGAAAAAUGUAGGGUUGAUGUUGCUGUGGCUAUCUAAUGGAUGACGCUGUUCAUUGUGCUUGUAACAUGACCCUCUACUUCAGCCAUUUCCGAUUACAUUUGUAGUCCAAAAGUAGUAAAGUGUUCCAAAUCAGCCGAGAAGUGCAACGGUUUUGAUCGCGUGUGUCUUUUUAGCCAGUCUGGCAUUCAGGGAUUAUGUCUGCAUACUAAAGUUGAAAUGCUUUGAUAUAACUACUGUACAGUUGUGACCCAAGCUGGACUGUUUGUGUCCAAUCAUUUACAUGAAGCUCCAUCCAGAGAAUACUUGAUUUCAAUGGCAUAUGAGCUCAUGAUUGUCAUCUGUCAAUGGAUUGGAUUGGCCAUGCAAUGGAUGGCACAUGCCUCAAAAGGGAAGCUUUUCUUUUUCUUUUUUUAACAACCUACAGAUUGUUGAAGAUUGCUCAAGUUAUAAUAACUGCUUGGCUGUUUGCUUUUAGUUUUGUUAGAAUUCUUUUCAUGGUUA
This is a long non-coding RNA of Helianthus annuus (common sunflower), 768 nucleotides long. RefSeq lists it as uncharacterized. The record is from RefSeq and is a predicted model, not a curated record. Lineage: Eukaryota; Viridiplantae; Streptophyta; Magnoliopsida; Asterales; Asteraceae. The transcript has 2 exons.